UAAAUACUCCCUCCGUCCCAAAAUUCUUGUCUUACAUUUGUCUAGAUACGGAUGUAUCUAACAAUAAAAUGUAACUAGAUACAUUUGUAUUUAGAAAAAUCGAAGACAAGAAUUUGGGCACGGUGGGAGUAUAAG
Molecule: non-coding RNA, 135 nt
Organism: Triticum aestivum (bread wheat)
Lineage: Eukaryota; Viridiplantae; Streptophyta; Magnoliopsida; Poales; Poaceae
Source: Rfam